GAUGAACGCUGGCGGCGUGCCUAAUACAUGCAAGUCGAGCGAACAGACGAGGAGCUUGCUCCUCUGACGUUAGCGGCGGACGGGUGAGUAACACGUGGAUAACCUACCUAUAAGACUGGGAUAACUUCGGGAAACCGGAGCUAAUACCGGAUAAUAUAUUGAACCGCAUGGUUCAAUAGUGAGAGACGGUUUUGCUGUCACUUAUAGAUGGAUCCGCGCCGCAUUAGCUAGUUGGUAAGGUAACGGCUUACCAAGGCAACGAUGCGUAGCCGACCUGAGAGGGUGAUCGGCCACACUGGAACUGAGACACGGUCCAGACUCCUACGGGAGGCAGCAGUAGGGAAUCUUCCGCAAUGGGCGAAAGCCUGACGGAGCAACGCCGCGUGAGUGAUGAAGGUCUUCGGAUCGUAAAACUCUGUUAUUAGGGAAGAACAAAUGUGUAAGUAACGAUGCACGUCUUGACGGUACCUAAUCAGAAAGCCACGGCUAACUACGU
This 496-nucleotide ribosomal RNA is filed under the name uncultured bacterium. RNAcentral's name for it is "partial 16S ribosomal RNA". It matches the Rfam family "Bacterial small subunit ribosomal RNA", at positions 28 to 506 of the family's 1533-position model. The record is from RNAcentral.